UUUUUUUGGUAGAUAAUAAUAGAGGACAAGUUAUCAUUGGCUCAAUAAACAAAACCAUGGAGUUCUUGUUUCUCGGUCUCACUGUUGAACUUGCUGUCUGAGGGGUCCUUUUGGAGGAUCUGGUAUUGCCAUCUGCCGCCCUCCGUGCCUUUGGUUUUCCUUGUCUGGUACAGUUCUUGCUGGUACAGAAAGGCUAGCACUGCAGUGAUACAGUGGUGCGACCUUUCAUUGUCUUCCGGCGCUUGAGGAGUCUUGAGGGUCAGACGGUGUUUGUGUAUUUGGCUCUUUGCCGCCUCUGCCUGUGUUAAGUCAAGCCGCCCAGUCCUUGCACAUCAUCAGCUCCAUUCUUCUGAAUAAAACAGGAGCAUCGCCUCAUUUCUCUUGCAGAAACCCUUAUUUAAACAAUGAAAACUUUAACGAUAGGGAGAAAAAAAACCCCAAGUUAAUUUAGAACUAAAUUACUGCUCAAAUGGUUUUAUCUCUUAAAAGGUUCAAGUAGAGAUUAGCUUAAAUGGCACCCACUUUCACUCUUGCUUAUGCCUAUCUUGUGAGCGAGCAUCCUUGUCAAGAGCCCCCUGGCCCCUGUCUCCAGCUUUGUUAGCGAUCAUGAGAGUGUUAGCUGCUGGUGUGCUGUUUGCUCCUGGAGCCGAUCUCUCCAUCCAUGGGCCAGGUUGGCAAGUGGAAGCCUUGCUUCCACUUCCACAGAGGGAGCAUGAAGAAGAGCAAAGCAGCAGACCACGCACAGAGGGAUGUGUACGCCGGAAGGAUCCAUGUCUGUCCAUCUCUUUAUUAAAAUAUCUACCUAGUGGCGUUGGGUGAUGUCUCCUAAUGCAUACUCACCUGUAAAUCCCUUACAUGUGAGGCCGUAUUGAAAAAGUAUGUUGAAAGGAUUAAUUCAAGAUGUUCUCAGUCUGCUUUGAGAAGUGAAGGAAACAAGUGAGUGGAAUCGCGUAACAUCAGAGAAACAGCGUGAUCAUAAUCUAAUUGUCGGGCCUUUAAACACAGACGUUAUUAUUUUAAUCAACCUCUUAUAUUGUAUUUGCUAUAUUGAAUAAAGACAUGGUAUUGCUAGCCCAUAAGGCAGCUGGUAGAGAAGAACAAACAUUUGAUUUAUGAAGUGAUUAUUCAUUUGAGUAUCUGUUAUAUGCCAGAGACUGUUGGGCAUAUUUCUCUCUUUCAAGAAGGUAGUUAGAUGUGCUUUUUGAUAUAUUUUUUUUUUCUCUCACCAGGUUUGGUUUUGUUUUGUUUGUUUGUUUUUUUUUUUUGAAAAUUUAAAAAUCUCAGGUAACUUGAAAUCAGAGUACAAUGACGAUGCAUAUUUGUUUCUACUUUAGAGCUCUCAACUGUUAACUUUUGACCAUUUGUAUUAUUGCCAUAUCCCUAAAUAAUAUGUAAACAUAUAUUCCCAGUUUUUCUCUUUCUGAACCUCAGGAAAAUGAAUAACAGGUAUGAUAUGUGACUCUUGAAUAUUCGUCAUUUCUGAGAAUAAGGUUAUUUCAUGUUCAGUCUCCAAAAUGAUACUAUGCAAUUGACAUACAUCUACUAUUAUCUAGUAUCUAGGUCAUAGUCUUUGUUCCAUCAGCCCAUUAACGUUGCUUUAUCCUGCCCAGUAUAGAUCUUGAAGUCACCAACACACACACACACUGGAUUUAGUUUUCACAUCUCUGGGAUCUUUCAGUGUAAAACCAUUUCCCUACUGUCCACCCUUUUCUUUUUUCUAUCAUCAUGAUCCUCAUUAUUUUGUGGUUCUAGGUAUUAACCAGAGAGCUUCCUGCAUGGUGGACUAGUGCUUUAUUACUGGGAUGCUCCUCCCAUUCCAUUGAAAGGAUUUUUUUUUUUUCACAAUAGAGGUGUCUUUCAUGGCCCUGCCAUUUUGAGUCUAGAUAUGCCGUUUUCUAGCAUGUUCUGUGGUGGCACCUUUCCUCCUGGUUUGGCUCAGAUUAAGCGUCUUUGGUGAUAAUACUAGAUAGCUGAACUGAUGUUGUCAUCUUGUAGCUCCUUAUCAGGUUUCCCCUUGAUCCUGGGUGAAGAUACCAAGUUAACCACUUAGUUUAGCUAGAUCACACGUUUCUCCAUUGCUGCCCUUUUGUAAUUAAUGAAGAAGUAAGUCUGAGGGAUAAUCUUGAGAAUGCUGGUCCUUUUCUCUUACUGCACUUACGGAGUUAACGGGGCGACAGCACAGAUUGUGUCAAAUGCCUACCAGAGCUACCGACCUGGCCUUCUCCAGUUCUGGGAUUCGAAUAUUAGGUGGAGGCAUUGCUGUGUUGACAAGAGCUUGUUUCUCACCACUCCUUUUUUGAUGGAUUUUAAAAAAUAGAAAUUCAGUGUGAUUUGACAGUAGCUCAUUCGCAUCAAAGGUGGCCCAUUGAGAGCAUCUUUAAACUCUGCUGUCUCACUUCCAUGUAGCCUUGCUAGUUAAGAUUCUUUGUUACAUGUAUUUAUUUUGGGUAUGUGAGUCCACAUGUGCCUGUGUGUCCGUGUGCGUGCAUGCUCUAGUGUGUGUGUGUUGGUCAGAGGACAGUGUGGAGGAAAUGGUUCUCUCUUGCCGGAGGAUCUUGGGGACUGAACUCAGGUUAUAGGCACCUUUACUCACUGAGCCAUCUUGUCGCCCGUUCUUCCAAGUACUUUCUCACUACACCAUCAGCUCUAGGCUAACCUUAAGUGGAUUCUACCCCGGAACUGCAUCUAGUUAUUUCUCCAAGGAAUCCCGUUUCCUGUUUGUGGAGGAAUGCUCAGUAAAUAGAGAGUUGUACUAAUCAGAUUUGUGUUGUCCCUGGGCAGAGGUAGGACUUUUGUAACCUCCUCCACCCCCCCCCCCCCACAGUGCAUACAUGCCUGCUACCUGGCCUGUCUGUCUAAGGUCUGUUCAGCUCAGUCAUGGCAUGUAACAUGGAUGCUUUCUGCUCUAGCCUGGCAUCCAAGUUGUCUUUCUCCAUCUCCCAUUCCUUCCUUACAUCCUCCAUCCCAGGGGAGAACCCUGGGUCUCAGCUCCAUCCUUAUCUUAUAACUAAUAUGGAAGGAUUUUUACAUUACUUCACCAAGACCACUGUGGACCAUGAUCUUAGCAAGUAAAUCGCAGUUCUCCCCUCCCUCCCUCCCUCCCUGUUCUUGUUAUCUUUAAAAAGAUCCUACUUGUCCUGGCAGUGGUGAGAGGCAGAGGUAGGUGGAUCUCUGAGUUCGAGGCCACCUGCUCUACAGUUCCAGGACAGCCAGGGUUACAUACUCCCUUCAUCCAUCCCCCCAAAAGCCAAAACAGCUCUCUUGUCUGUCUGUCUGUCUCUCUCUCUGUCUGUGUGAGGGGGAGGGUUGAUUUUGUAGAUAUAUUUUUUGGGUACAUAAAUCAGCCAUCUAGCUAAAAAAAUCCCCCACUUUUUCUGCUUCUUUAAAAAUAAAACCAUCUUCCAAUUUUAUUUUUAUUGUGCUUCCUAUUUUUUUAAAGGGGUACUAUUACUCUUUUAAGAUUGUGUUAGAGAUCUCCGUAUUUUCUUUAUUCGACCCACCCUGGCUGCUUCCCAUUUAUUUAAAUGACCUCCUGUCAUUCAGCUUUGUUCUAGUAACCAAGAAAGCUUUUUCUUGGGUGGAAUUCUGUAUAUAUAUUUUAAUUUUCCAAUUUAUUUCAACAAGGACCACCUUUCCAUACUGAUACAAUGUGUGUCUGGUAUUUAUCGUUUUCUGGAAUAUACAGUCUUUGACUGCGUUUUACUUAGCUUUUGACAAUCAUUUGAGAAAUGCUUCUCCCCUCUGAUAAGUUGGAUAAUUACAGCACAAGCUCCAACUCUUCUUUCUUUUUAUUAUUAUUAUUUUUUAAGGAGGGUCUUGAAAUUCCGCCCAGCCUGGCCUUGAGCUGGAGGUGGUCCUCUGCUUCUGUUUCCUGGAAUUACAGGAGUAUACCACCACAUCCAAAUCUACUUAAAACAAACCCAAAACCAACC
This 3932-nucleotide long non-coding RNA is filed under the name Mus musculus (house mouse). RNAcentral describes it as "long non-coding RNA chr9:47539461-47543393". Lineage: Eukaryota; Metazoa; Chordata; Mammalia; Rodentia; Muridae. The record is from RNAcentral.